Molecule: long non-coding RNA, 199 nt
Filed under: Nicotiana benthamiana
Lineage: Eukaryota; Viridiplantae; Streptophyta; Magnoliopsida; Solanales; Solanaceae
Description: long non-coding RNA (NBEN_LNC026435)
Source: RNAcentral
UGAAUAGAGUUAUAAUAAAAUUUAGCAUAAACUUGCGGAAUUUGAAAUUUGCAGGAAAUAAAUAAGUGCGUUAAGUAAACAAAAAGGAAAGAACGCACCGAUUUAUUCUGGUUCACCACAACAAGUGGCUAGUCCAGUCCCCGAGAGACUCUCUCGAGAUUUUCCACUAACUUGUCAAGCUUACGGGUGCUCAACAAAC